ACGGAGGAUCCAAGCGUUAUCCGGAUUUAUUGGGUUUAAAGGGUGCGCAGGCGGAAUGAUAAGUCAGUGGUGAAAUCCUACGGCUCAACUGUAGAACUGCCAUUGAUACUGUCAUUCUUGAGUAUAAUUGAUGUGGGCGGAAUGUGUCAUGUAGCGGUGAAAUGCUUAGAUAUGACACAGAACACCGAUCGCGAAGGCAGCUCACAAAGCUAUAACUGACGCUCAGGCACGAAAGCGUGGGGAUCAAACAG
RNAcentral lists this ribosomal RNA (251 nucleotides) under uncultured prokaryote. RNAcentral's name for it is "partial 16S rRNA". It matches the Rfam family "Bacterial small subunit ribosomal RNA", at positions 525 to 775 of the family's 1533-position model. The record is from RNAcentral.